UCGGUCAGACAGUCAGAAUUUAGCUUCACGCGGACGAGGCCACUUUCCCUCGGCUCACCUGCGAGAUAUCCCCUAAAAUGAAUGCGAAGAAAAAUAAAAACAAACAAAAACAAAACAAACCCAACCCGCAACCGAAAGCCGAGGAAAUUAUAGGCGAAACCCCUGAAAAACUAGAACUCGAAGAAAAAAUAGAAGUAGUGAAAAGUGAAGAACGUGUUCCUGAAAUUGUGAGUGAAACUGCUCCUGUGUCCGAUGCGAAGAUAUCAGAAGGCGAUACUCCCAAAAAACCUAAAAGAAAUAGAGGUAAGAAGAAAAAAACUGAUAAGGAAGAUGAAACUGACGACAUCCAGGAACAGAAAGUGCCUGAGCCUGUCACUGAAGAAGUCAAACAGACUAGUGAUGAGCAAGGUAAUAAAGAGCCUAAUAAAGCUGUGGAAGAAAAGGGCACUGACUUAUCAGAAAUAGCUCCAGCUGCGCGUAAAAAGAAAAAUAAAAAUAAAAAGCAAUCGGAACAAGCGGAAAAAGCUUCAGAACAGGAAAUAAAAAUUACACCGCUAACAAAGGAAGAAUUAACAGAUGUGAAAAUAGUCACUUGUGUUCCUGUUGCGACGGAGUCCGCCGAAGAAUCUAAAUCGAAGAAAAAAAACAAGAAGAAGAAACGAAGUGAUUCAGAGCGAUCUGAUAAAGCUGAUGAAGUGGCUGCUUGUACUGCGGCAUUCCAAAAGCUGUUGGAAUAUAAAGACGAAAAGAAGGACGUUAAAAAAGAAACUAAAUUAGAAGAUAUUAUACCUGCUACAGAAGAAAGCACACCUAAAGAGCAAGAGGUAAUUCCUGUUCAAAUAGAGACGAAGAUAAUUUCUGAAAAAGGCGUAAUACAAGAUGAAAUCGUUGAAGAAAAACCACAUGAAACCAAAGUUGUUACAAAAGAAGAGGGUGGAAAAAGUAAAAAGAAAAACAAAAAGGACAAAAAGCAUCCUCCUAAAAUGGAGGGCGAAGAUCUAGAGGUUGAGCAAAAAUAUAUUGAAGACAAAACUGAAGUAUUAACGACAGAAAACCCUACUGAAAGUAGAAGUAGUACCAAUGUUGCAGCGGAAAAUAUUUUAGAAAUAAAAGGAGAGCCUGUAAUACAUUUAGAAGAUACACAUAAAUCUUCAGAAAAGCCAAACAUUGAAAAAGAAAAGAGUCCUAAACCUAAAGCUAAAAUAGCAAAACCGGUAGAAAAGAAACGUAAAGGUAAAGGUGAUAAUUCGAGUACUGAAGUUUUAAUUGAAGAAAGUUCUGUAAGUGUUAGUACUCCUGAAGACUCUACAGUUACCGCUGAGACGACCAAAGAACAUAAAGAAGAUACUACUGCAGAAAAAAGGGAAGAAAUAAAGGAUGUCGCUAUUGAAGUUAAAAUAGAUACUUCCGAAAAAGAAAUGGGACACAUAGGAGAUCCUGCUGACAAACAAGAUAUUAAAUCCGAAGUAAAAGAACAAAUAGAAACAAUGACAAAAGAGACUGAAACCAUUCAAAUGCCUGAAACCAGUAAAAAAAGGAGAAAGUCACCCAAACCAAAGACAGUUGAUACAUUGAUUAAAGAACCUGCAGCUCCAACUAUGCUAGAAGCUACAAUUGUGGAACCAAAGCCUACAAAGUCAGACGAAACUAAAGAAAAUAUCCUACCAAGUAAAGAAACUGUAGCCAAGAAAGACGAAAUUAAAGCUAUUCUUGAAAUCAAGACUGAAAUUAUUGAAGAAAAACCAACUGCAGCAUUAGAGCCUGAGCCACCAGUAUUACAACCAAAUGUACCAAUCGCUCUCGGCUUCGAACCGAUAAUACCAACAAAAACUACAUCAGAAGCGAGGAUUUUGGCAACACCUGAAGUUGGUAAAAUGCCAGAACUACCUACAGAAUUAGUGUUGGAAACGGAAGGACAACAUAUUCCAAUACCUGAACCAGUUAUGGGGAAGAAGAGAAAAAAGUCGCCUAAACCACCUAGAAAGCUGAAUAAAACCCCUGAACCAACUGAGAAAGUAUCUGAACCCGUAAGUGCACCUGAACAGAGUACAAAAGACAUUACAAACGAACAAAAAAUUAAGACAGAAACCGGUUUUGACUUACUACCAAUGGAAGAUAUUGAAAUAAGAAGUAUGAAAGCAUCUGAAUCUGAAGGUUCUGCGUGUGAUAUAACACCAGACGUUCAGUAUCCAAGAGCUAGUAGUCAACUCCUAGACGAUAACAAUAACACGACUAUACGAGAUGUUACUGAUAUUAAAUUGAACAUUCCUUUUGAACUGCCUGACACUCCUUUGAUCCAAGGAUCUGGAGAAACUCCUUUAACACCUCCAAAACUAAAUACAACAGGAAUAAAAUUUACUGAAGUAUUAACAGAACCUGAGCCUGUAGUACAAGAUUUUUUACCUUCGAAAUCUGAGACAGAGAUUAAAAGCAAGCCCAAUGAGAAAACUGAUUUAAAGUCUAAAGUAUUGGAUGUUAAUAUUGGUAUGGAAGAAUUGAGAAAGUCCAUUGAAAGGUCUUUGGCAGAAUUGACAUCUAUGGAAAGAAGUGAAAGGGACGCUGAAGAACAAUUUGCUAGUGCUCAAAGCAAAUUGCAAGAAAUAACAGAAUUAGCUUCAAAGAAAACUGAGUGUGAUAAAAAAAUAUUGCCUGCGAAAGAUAACACAAAAAUAGAAAAAAGAGCGUCAACACCAGUGCAAACAAAGGAGGCUGACAAAUACGCAACAAGUGGCGAAUCGAAACCAGUUCCACAAGUGGAAGAAUCAAAAGCUAAUACAAAGCAAGUAGAAUCUACAGUAACUGAUAUUAAACCUGAAGAGCAAAAAAUCGGCGAAAACCCUGUACAAGCGGAAACACCUGUUCCACCAGCAGCACCUAUAUGUCCCGCAAGAAAAGAAAACAAAGGAAAAGGUAAAAGAAAGAAAGGAAAACAAGAUGCUGAGCACAACGUAGUAACACCGACAAGUACUACGUGUUCUGAAAGUAGUGCUACUACAAGUACUACUACUGGGAGUGAAACAAAAGAAUCUACCAAAGAUACUAAAAAAGAUGACAAAUCUAAUCAGAAAAACACCGGCCAAACUCAAGAAAAAGGAAAACAACAGUCUGAUUUUUUAGAAGAAACUAAUUCUCCCUGUGGUGUUUUGGAAAAUGCUGGAUUAACUGACUCUGUACAGAUGGGGUUUGAACCGAUAGACAGUUUCGAAGAUGCCUUAACGUCAAGUGUUGACGACGUCAACAAAACAUUCGAAAUGAUUGCUAACGAAUCGAAUACAUUUGACCAAUCGCAAAAUCCUGAAAUAAACGUAAUUAGUCCUGUAGAUGACGAGGACAAUAGUAAUGACAAAAAAGAUGCAAAUGAAGAAAAAAUCAAUCCUAUUUCGCAGCCAAAAAACUUGCUAGGCCACCCCGAUAUUCCUGCACGAUUGAAUAAAACUGACUACAAAAAAGAAAAGAAUAAAUCUCCAAAUACAAAGCAAGCUAGAGUGAAAAUAAAGGAUUCGGUUCCUAUAGAAAUGAGUAAGGAAUCUAAAGAAUCACAGACAGAGAACAAUAAAAGAUUUAUGAAAGAUAAAACUGUGACAGAAUCGAUAUCUUCUGUGAGGAGUGAUAAUGAAGAGUAUAUUUACAAGUACAGUUUUAGGAAAGUGUUUUUACCGAGUGCCUGUCAUGUUUGCAAGAAGGAUUUGAAGCAGACGAGAGUUCCUUGUAAUUUCUGCAGUUUGGUGUUCUACUGCAGUGCGAAACAUAAAGAUGAAGAUUAUCCCCAACAUCAAGCGUUGUGCUUUGCUGUAUCCACUAUCGUUCAUUUAAAAGAUCAAAAACACAUCUAUGCGGAAGCGAAGAACAUAACAGGUCACGAGUACCGUCUUCUUCGUAUGCAGAUGAUAGUAUCGUGUGAGAAAGUGCUGAAGAGAAGGCUGGUGCCGUGGGAGCAGGAAGCAUUGCUGUAUCCCAGGAUGUGUGCCGACGCCGCUUGUCGGGAGUGGAGGCAGAGCAAGCUGGUGGACUGUGAGGGCUGUGGACAGGUAUCAUUCUGUGCCGAUCACCCUGACCACUUGCCGAAGUCUCACCAGCGUUGGUGCAAGUCCUACUCCCUGUACCAUCGGCUGGUGGUCUACCAGCAGACCAAGGGCAGACUGGAGCCGAAACUGCCAUCACGGGUGAUGGCAGAGCUGUACCAGAUCCCUGAGAAGCUGAAUGAGGUGCUCGCUUCUAUGUAUGAGGAGAAGAUUGACAUGACAGACAUACAAUACGCUGCGCUCACGCAGAUAGCAACAGCGCCGCUCACCGCAGCGUACUGCCAACAGCUGUUCACCAACAAGAUGAACUCCAUCUACGCUAACGGCAUGCAUAAGGCGCAGAGCUUCAAUUCGAAGCGGACGCCCUGAACAAGUGGGAGGUAUUCUUCCUGCACCUGAGACCUGACGUGAAGGACCUGAGGGUGGUGUUGCUGGGACCUGACCUCAACCCCUCCAGGCUGCCUCUCGACUUGCUUGGCAAGAUCAACCUGUGUGAAAACUGUCGUCAGAAUAAACGUCGCGUGCUCUUUGAGUUCCAAGACAAGAAGACCUAUCAUGAAUACUGGUCUACUGACUUCACCACGCCAGAUCUAG
RNAcentral lists this unclassified non-coding RNA (4616 nucleotides) under Pectinophora gossypiella (pink bollworm). Its description in RNAcentral is "titin". The record is from RNAcentral. Lineage: Eukaryota; Metazoa; Arthropoda; Insecta; Lepidoptera; Gelechiidae.